Molecule: long non-coding RNA, 360 nt
Organism: Oncorhynchus tshawytscha (Chinook salmon)
Lineage: Eukaryota; Metazoa; Chordata; Actinopteri; Salmoniformes; Salmonidae
Source: Ensembl
AUCUCAGCAGCUUAGCUGUCAGGUCAGGCAUCUGUCUCCUAUAGAUCCAGGUCUCUAUCAUCUCAGCAGCUUAGCCAGCAGGUCAGGUCAGGCAUCUGUCUCCUAUAGAUCCAGGUCUCUAUCAUCUCAGCAGCUUAGCUGUCAGGUCAGGCAUCUGUCUCCUAUAGAUCCAGGUCUCUAUCAUCUCAGCAGCUUAGCCAGCAGGUCAGGGGGUUCCAGGCGUCUGUCACCACGUAUACUGUAGGCCUCUCACACCAGCAAAUCCAGACACACACACACACUAUGUGGAUCAUGUCCCCUCUGUACUUUGAUGGCAUCGUGUUAAACUCUUCAGUCGACCACAGGGAUGUCUGACCCGAC